This 760-nucleotide ribosomal RNA is filed under the name uncultured Bacteroidales bacterium. Its description in RNAcentral is "bacterial SSU rRNA". It matches the Rfam family "Bacterial small subunit ribosomal RNA", at positions 28 to 776 of the family's 1533-position model. Lineage: Bacteria; Pseudomonadati; Bacteroidota; Bacteroidia; Bacteroidales. The record is from RNAcentral.
GAUGAACGCUAGCUACAGGCUUAACACAUGCAAGUCGAGGGGCAUCAGUUUGGUUUGCUUGCAAACCAAAGCUGGCGACCGGCGCACGGGUGAGUAACACGUAUCCAACCUACCUCAUACUCGGGGAUAGCCUUUCGAAAGAAAGAUUAAUAUCCGAUAGCAUAUAUUUCCCGCAUGGGUUUUAUAUUAAAGAAAUUCGGUAUGAGAUGGGGAUGCGUUCCAUUAGUUUGUUGGGGGGGUAACGGCCCACCAAGACUACGAUGGAUAGGGGUUCUGAGAGGAAGGUCCCCCACAUUGGAACUGAGACACGGUCCAAACUCCUACGGGAGGCAGCAGUGAGGAAUAUUGGUCAAUGGACGCGAGUCUGAACCAGCCAAGUAGCGUGAAGGAUGACUGCCCUAUGGGUUGUAAACUUCUUUUAUAUGGGAAUAAAGUGGUCCACGUGUGGACUUUUGUAUGUACCAUAUGAAUAAGGAUCGGCUAACUCCGUGCCAGCAGCCGCGGUAAUACGGAGGAUCCGAGCGUUAUCCGGAUUUAUUGGGUUUAAAGGGAGCGUAGGCGGAUUGUUAAGUCAGUUGUGAAAGUUUGCGGCUCAACCGUAAAAUUGCAGUUGAUACUGGCAGUCUUGAGUGCAGUAGAGGUGGGCGGAAUUCGUGGUGUAGCGGUGAAAUGCUUAGAUAUCACGAAGAACUCCGAUUGCGAAGGCAGCUCACUGGAGUGUAACUGACGCUGAUGCUCGAAAGUGUGGGUAUCAAACAGG